AAAGUCGUAACAAGGUUUCCGUAGGUGAACCUGCGGAAGGAUCAUCAUAGGAUUUUAUAGAUAGCCUGGGUUUUUCCACAGUUGCCCUUUGAUGGGUGACUGUGGGGGACCCAUCCUAUACCCAUUCCCAGCAAAUUGUAUUUUUGGAGGGAGCUUGGUUGACUGAGCAAUGCGAGAGGACAUGUGGGGAGAAAAGAGCAAAAACAACUUUCAACAACGGAUCUCUUGGCUCUC
RNAcentral lists this unclassified non-coding RNA (234 nucleotides) under Basidiomycota sp. RNAcentral's name for it is "partial contains small subunit ribosomal RNA, internal transcribed spacer 1, and 5.8S ribosomal RNA". The stretch from base 1 to 47 matches the Rfam family "Eukaryotic small subunit ribosomal RNA", at positions 1785 to 1831 of the family's 1831-position model. The record is from RNAcentral. Lineage: Eukaryota; Fungi; Basidiomycota.